Molecule: non-coding RNA, 300 nt
Organism: Otolemur garnettii (small-eared galago)
Lineage: Eukaryota; Metazoa; Chordata; Mammalia; Primates; Galagidae
Source: Rfam
GCCGGACAUGGUGGCAUGCACCUGUAGUCCCAGCUACUCAGGAGGCUGAGACAGGAGGAUCGCUUAAGUCCAGGAGUUCUAGGCUAUAAUGCGCUAUGCUGAUUGGGUGUCUGCACUGAGUUCAGCAUCAAUAUGGUGACCUCCCGGGAGCCGGGGGCCAUCAAGUUGCCUAAGGAGGGGUGAACCGGCCCAGGUUGGAAAUGGAGCAGGUCAAAACUCCUGUGCUGAUCAGUAGUGGGAUCGUGCUUGUGAAUAGCCACUGCACUCCAGCCUGGGCAACAUAGCAAGACCCCAUCUCUA